This 400-nucleotide ribosomal RNA is filed under the name uncultured bacterium. Its description in RNAcentral is "bacterial SSU rRNA". It matches the Rfam family "Bacterial small subunit ribosomal RNA", at positions 81 to 497 of the family's 1533-position model. The record is from RNAcentral.
GCUCUGUGGGAUCAGUGGCGAACGGGUGAGUAACACGUGAGCAACCUGCCCCUGACUCUGGGAUAAGCGCUGGAAACGGCGUCUAAUACUGGAUAUGUGACGUGACCGCAUGGUCUGCGUCUGGAAAGAAUUUCGGUUGGGGAUGGGCUCGCGGCCUAUCAGCUUGUUGGUGAGGUAAUGGCUCACCAAGGCGUCGACGGGUAGCCGGCCUGAGAGGGUGACCGGCCACACUGGGACUGAAACACGGCCCAAACUCCUACGGGAGGCAGCAGUGGGGAAUAUUGCACAAUGGGCGCAAGCCUGAUGCAGCAACGCCCCGUGAGGGACAACGCCCUUCGGGUUGUAAACCUCUUUUACAGAAAAAACCAAAAGUGACCGUACCUGCAAAAAAAGCCCCGGC